AAAGUCGUAACAAGGUUUCCGUAGGUGAACCUGCGGAAGGAUCAUUACCAAUCCAACCUUACAAACAACUGUGCACCUGUUUAUGUCCUUGGGAGGAGGUGAGGCAAGCAAAGUUAAUUCUGCGCCUGCUGAACGCCUCCCAAACGUUUUAAACAACUUGUUAAACAAUUUUGUUGACAAACUUUUCUGCGGCUUCCAAGCUCAGAAAUAUUGCAAACAAAAUACAACUUUUAACGGUGGAUCUCUUGGCUCAU
This 254-nucleotide unclassified non-coding RNA is filed under the name Basidiomycota sp. RNAcentral describes it as "partial contains small subunit ribosomal RNA, internal transcribed spacer 1, and 5.8S ribosomal RNA". The stretch from base 1 to 47 matches the Rfam family "Eukaryotic small subunit ribosomal RNA", at positions 1785 to 1831 of the family's 1831-position model. The record is from RNAcentral. Lineage: Eukaryota; Fungi; Basidiomycota.